This 87-nucleotide transfer RNA is filed under the name Xanthomonas campestris pv. incanae. RNAcentral describes it as "tRNA-Leu". It matches the Rfam family "tRNA". Rfam says of the family: Transfer RNA (tRNA) molecules are approximately 80 nucleotides in length. Their secondary structure includes four short double-helical elements and three loops (D, anti-codon, and T loops). Further hydrogen bonds mediate the characteristic L-shaped molecular structure. tRNAs have two regions of fundamental functional importance: the anti-codon, which is responsible for specific mRNA codon recognition, and the 3' end, to which the tRNAs corresponding amino acid is attached (by aminoacyl-tRNA synthetases). tRNAs cope with the degeneracy of the genetic code in two manners: having more than one tRNA (with a specific anti-codon) for a particular amino acid; and 'wobble' base-pairing, i.e. permitting non-standard base-pairing at the 3rd anti-codon position. The record is from RNAcentral. Lineage: Bacteria; Pseudomonadati; Pseudomonadota; Gammaproteobacteria; Lysobacterales; Lysobacteraceae.
GCCGAAGUGGCGGAAUCGGUAGACGCAGCGGACUCAAAAUCCGCCGCCCUUAAAAGCGUGUGGGUUCGAGUCCCACCUUCGGUACCA